AUUGGUUUCAAAUCAAAGACAAAUCUGCCCUUCGUGCAGCUCUAAUACAGACUCUGUUUGAUGACCUCAGCAAAUAUACGCUGUAUCCAGACCACAUAAUGUACAGUACUGUGCUAAGUACUUUGUGCUGUAAGUACAGAUUUCUAAGGGAUGACAGCCAAACUGGAUAUGCUACUCUACUUGAAAUACUGAGAAAUAAAUUCAAAAAAGAGAGAAAGACACUUAUUUCAGUGGAGACUGUAGAAGACAUGAAAAAAAGUUUGGUGCUGUGGGUCGAGGAAGGAAGCGUGCACCAGAGCAACAGCAACCGCUCAUGAAAAAGAGAAGAGAAUCUGUAAGCCUAACUCUUGGAUCUGCAUUGACAGAAAUAGAUUGAAAUAGAAUUACAUACUUUAUAUAUGUACAUACAUGCGAUUGUGUAGUUUAUUAGCUAAUUGGCUUUCAU
Molecule: long non-coding RNA, 445 nt
Organism: Acipenser ruthenus (sterlet)
Lineage: Eukaryota; Metazoa; Chordata; Actinopteri; Acipenseriformes; Acipenseridae
Exons: 3
Source: RefSeq, a predicted model, not a curated record